GGAAGCUGAGGCAGGAGAAUCACUUGAACCCGGGAGGCAGAGGUUGCAGUGAGCCAAGAUCACACCACUGCACUCCAGCCUGGGCAACAGAGUGAGACUCCAUCUCAAAAAACAAAACAAAAUACCAGUGAGUGGCCAAUUCGCACAGUUAAGCUGCUAUAAUGAUCGUAGACAAUCUUCUCCAAGUUAGUCGUUGGAGUUGGUGUUGGAGAGAAGCAAACACUCAUUUAUCCCAAGGACAUCUGUUGAGUACCUAUGCCCAUGUGCUUUUCAUUUUGUUCAGCAUUAGAAAUGGCUCAUCCCUUAAUAAUGAUGAUAUUUAAAAGACAUGUCCAUCUGAGAGGAAGAUGGCUGGAAUCACCCUGGGUGACCGUGGCAAUCCCUAAAACAGCAGGUUCACGGUUUAGUCAUCUACCUCGAGUGGGAGGGGACCCCCUGGCCAAUGUGGGUCAAGGGAGAGAUGACCACCCACUGUCCUCCCCGGCUUCGGGUACAGAUUCCUGUCUUUCUCUCGUGCAUGGCAUUCCUGGGAACGUGGUUCUAUGCUCAGUUUUUGCCAGUUGUCUGCCAGUCUAGUGGCUGAAUCCACUUGGCAAGUAGGAGCCCAGUGUAAGUUAGCUCUGCAUUCACUUCAGGGGCAUGUGUGACCUGGAUUUCCCAUGUCUAACAGAGCUUGCUGGCGAGGGGGCAGGCAAGGCCCUAUGCCGACUGGUGGUUUUGUUUUUGUUUUUGUUUUUUGAGACAGAGUCUUGCUCCGUUGCCAGGCUGUAGUGCAGUGGUGUGAUCUCGGCUCACUGCAAGCUCCGACUCCCUGGUUCAAGCAAUUCAGCCUCAGCCUCCCGAGUAACUGGGAUUACAGGUACAUGCCACCACACCCGGCUAAUUUUUGUAUUUUUAGUAGAGAUGGGGUUUCAUCAUGUUGGCCAGACUGGUCUCGAACUCCUGACCUCGUGAUCCGCCCGCCUCGGCCUCCUAAAGUGCUGGAAUUAGAGGGGUGAGCCACCGCACCCAGCUGCCAACUGGUGUUUCUAGGCAGCUGUGGGCUUUUUCUCCCCACAGGCAUGCAGUUCUUGAAGAUUUUUCCUAUUGGUCAUGAGUGCAGAAGAGCAGGAGGCUGAGCUGAACCUAUGCCAGCCCAAGACCAGGCCAGACUCUGCUGUCCUUGUGAGGGAAUAGGGGUUCCUGAUUUUGUAGCUUUUCACAAAAUGGAAGAGACAGAAAACAAGUUCCAGAUCUUGAACCUUCCCCAUGUGUUUGAAGGCAGUCAAGGGUUUCCUGAUUUUACAUUCAAGAUACUUACACUCAGGGCCGGGCAUGGUGGCUCACGCCUGUAAUCCCAGCACUUUGGGAGGCCGAGGCAGGAG
This 1364-nucleotide long non-coding RNA is filed under the name Homo sapiens (human). RNAcentral describes it as "LHRI_LNC181.1". Lineage: Eukaryota; Metazoa; Chordata; Mammalia; Primates; Hominidae. The record is from RNAcentral.